UUUGCGUUGGCUAAAUCAGGCAUAGACGCAACGUUUGCAGAAGAUGAAGUUAAGCAACAACUUGGGUUGAUUUUUGAUUCAGCCUCGCCAGAGUAUGUUUAGUGUUCUGCUUUUACCGGUUUACCUGGUUUGAUUGAGAUGUUCUUACAUUGCAAAAAAAUAAAAAUAAAACUUGUUUUUGUUUGUAGAGGAAUGAUUCGAUAGGUAUGAGUAAACGUUCUUACAUGGAAGCGGUUAUCAAAGGUCUGAGAUCUAUCAGUGAAGUCGAUGUUGAGUUUGUUGCCGCGCCUGAUUCUGAGAAACUACACAACUCGUGUGAUGGAGUUGGAAGAAAGAAGAUUUAUGUUAGACUUCUUCUUAGUAUUGACCGUAGAGAGACAACAGAGUCCGCAAUGGAGACUGUAAGUUGUUGUAAAACUACUCUGAAAGCUUUUAAAAUUACCAAAUAAAAACAUUAUCCUUUUUCUCUUUAAGGUUAAGCUCGCAUUGGAGAUGAGAAAUGUCGGUGUUGUUGGUAUCGAUCUCUCUGGGAACCCUCUUGUUGGAGAAUGGUAGGCUUGUAAAAUUUCUUCUUCUUAGUCCUUUUUUUUGAUCAACAUCUCUCAUGUUCUUGUAGGAGCACCUUCCUACCUGCGUUACAGUUUGCUAAAGACAAUGAUCUUUACAUCACUCUUCACUGUGGGGAGGUACUAACCUGUCUUCAAAUGUGUUCUUUUAGUAAAGAUUGUCUACUACUUACUUCAUCUUAGUGCAUUGCAGGUCCCUAAUCCGAAAGAGAUCCAAGCAAUGCUUGAUUUCAAACCGCAUCGAGUUGGCCAUGCUUGUUUCUUCAAAGAUCAAGACUGGGAAAAAUUGAAAUCUUUCCGGAUUCCGGUAACAGAUUAGUGGUUACAAUUGUAUAAUCUUCUAACAGUGUAACAUACUCAUUUAAUUUGUGCAGGUGGAGAUAUGUCUAUCAUCCAACAUUAUAACCAAAUCCAUAUCUUCAAUCGAUAUACACCAUUUUGGUUAAAGACUUUCUGUUUACCCUGCUGCUUUGUUUCUUUUUUUUUUAUGCAUUGAAGUGACAUGAGCUUGAAUCUUUGAUGUAACAGCUGAUCUCUACAAGGCAAAGCAUCCGUUGAUUAUAUGCACUGAUGAUUUUGGAGUGUUCUCCACUACCCUCUCCAACGAGUACUCUCUCGCUGUUCGUUCCUUUGGUGAGUUCUUUUCUGAUUCUUGAGACUGCUACAAAGAAACUACAUGUUUAAGAAUCUCACUGUGUUCUUGUGGUUGAAUAUCUUUGAAGGUCUUGGUAAAAGAGAAACAUUUGCGUUGGCUAAAUCAGGCAUAGACGCAACGUUUGCAGAAGAUGAAGUUAAGCAACAACUUGGGUUGAUUUUUGAUUCAGCCUCGCCAGAGUAUGUUUAGUGUUCUGCUUUUACCGGUUUACCUGGUUUGAUUGCGUUCGUACCAAAUGAAGGAAAUGUGGUUUGGUUCAUUGGAAUUGAUAACAUACGGUAUUUCCAUUGUUACUAAUAUUUUACAAUCAGUAUAUGAACUUUUUAACUUUUAAUU
Molecule: long non-coding RNA, 1557 nt
Filed under: Brassica napus (rape)
Lineage: Eukaryota; Viridiplantae; Streptophyta; Magnoliopsida; Brassicales; Brassicaceae
Description: long non-coding RNA (BNAP_LNC007853)
Source: RNAcentral